AGCGCGAGGCCCGGAGGGGACGAGGGGGGAAUGUAAGUUUGUGCUUCGCUGCUGCUGGGAUUUGUCGUAGAAUCGCUCAGGUUGGAAAAGACCGUCAAGAUCAUCAAGUCCAACCGCAGCCUAACCGUACAUAACUCUAACAGCCCUCUGCUAAAUCACGGCCCUGAGCACCACAUCCAGACGGAUUUUAAACACAUCCAGGGAUGGUGACUCCACCUCCUCCCUGGGGACCCCAUUCCAGUGCUUAACAACCCUUUCCGGAAAGAAGCUUUUCCUGAUAUCCAACCUAAACCUCCCCUGGUGCAACUUGAGGCCAUGUCCCGUCAGCUGUCAGCAGUGAGGAGAGACCAACCCCGCUCCCACCGCCAUCACCCUCCAGGUUUAAGGAGUGUUUUGGUUAGAAAGCGUGACCAAGAACCAUGAAGAAAGCAGUGUGAGCUGCUCAAGGAAGAGGCUGGCAACCCUGAACAAAAACCAGGAGCAUGGAGUUGUGAGAAAUCCUCAGGAAGGGCAAAAAAGCACAAUAAAAAACAAGUGGAAAUUAGGAGGAGGGGUGAAGAUGUUGCUGAAGCAGAAGACUCUCUGCUGCAACCCUCUGCCACACGAAAACCGAGUCCUUCAAGCUGCAGACUCUUCCCUACUAAUGGUUUCCAGGCAGCCCACAGGUUUACCUGAGCGUGCAUAAGACUCAUGACAUGUGUUUGUUAUUUCUGCAGCAAGAUCCAUGUAGUGUUGCUUCCUCUCUUCUCCACCAUGUUCGGCUCCCAGGGCUAUCAUGCCCCCAGAGAAGCAAGCCAGGUGGCCCAUUUUGUGGUCCAAGAUGCCGCCCCUCCACUCAGCAAUGUAGGUCAAUCCUCCUGCUGACUUUUUGACCAAAUGCUUUUCUAUUGCCUAGGGAGAUGAAAAGCAGGAUCUUAGGAGACUUAGUGGAUAGGUGAGGAGUGAAUAUCAGAUGAACUCAAAGACAUUCAACGCUUCUAGCAGAAACAAUCUGAUGAACGACGCCCCCCACCAAAGACACAGCGCACCAACCCGCUCCUUACCUCUAGUGCAUCAUCGUACAUCUUCUUUGCUUCAGAGUCCUUCUUGUCUGACAUCAGCCACGAUUUGAUGAGAUACUCAUAAAAGCUGUCUCCGAGCCCUCCAAUAGAGACAUGGUCUGCAGUGGGAAAGCCAAAAAAGAGCUCAUGUUCAGGACGUGCAGCGUGUAGCUGUGUUAGCAAGAGCAAAUAACCACGUCCUAUUUGAUGUCUCUUUCUUUCCUCCUUUCCAGUUUUCUCAGAAGAGUUUGCAGCAUCACUUCUUUAGAAAGGAACAAAGGUGGAAAUUGCAAUCCAAAGAAGAACAUUCUUUCCCUUUAUAAAGCAUUUUACAAGUUCACUGAAGCCAUUUGGAUGUCAUAUUUUCCAAGUUAUUGGUACUACAACUCGGAGAUACUUCUCGUUUAUGAAGCAAUCAUCAUAAAUCCCCGUCCCAUAAACAAAGUGCAGUGGCAGGCAUUGACAGACCUCCACCUACACGAAGCUGCCAGGUGCUGUCUCCCUGCCUCAGGAAAAGGAGAAUGCAUAUUAGAUCACGUAUAGCGGCCAGAAAGGGACUGCUGCAGGGACCUCCAGGUUCUGCCAUUGGUAUUCCUGUCUCAUAGAGGGAUGGGAAAGGCUGUUGGAGCAUUAAAACAGUAGUGUCAGGU
Long non-coding RNA from Gallus gallus (chicken), 1690 nucleotides. RefSeq lists it as uncharacterized. NCBI's taxonomy places the organism in Eukaryota, Metazoa, Chordata, Aves, Galliformes, Phasianidae. The transcript is spliced from 3 exons. The record is from RefSeq and is a predicted model, not a curated record.